Long non-coding RNA from Cyprinus carpio (common carp), 347 nucleotides. RefSeq lists it as uncharacterized. Lineage: Eukaryota; Metazoa; Chordata; Actinopteri; Cypriniformes; Cyprinidae. The record is from RefSeq and is a predicted model, not a curated record. The transcript has 3 exons.
GAAACCACACUAAUUUUACAGACAGUCUCCUGCAGAUCUUCCAGGAUCUUGAGAGCAAAAUAAUCACAUUUCUAAAGAAUGAACUGGAAAAGUUUAAGAAAAUAUUACAAAAAGAGGACAUGCAGUACUUUGUGAAGGACUUUAAUGAGAACAGAUGCAGUAUGAAAGAAGCAGCUCUUGAUCUCACGCUCUACUUCCUGAGAGAGAUGAAGCAAGAUGAAGCUGCUGAUACUCUAGAAGAUGAGCUGUUCUUCAUUCAUCAGCUAAAUUGUAGCCUAAAGAAGAAGUAUCAAUGUGUGUUUGAAGGAAUUGCAAAGCAAGGUGACUCUACACUUCUGAAGAACACU